Molecule: ribosomal RNA, 624 nt
Filed under: Microbacterium sp. So1Ps_712
Lineage: Bacteria; Bacillati; Actinomycetota; Actinomycetes; Micrococcales; Microbacteriaceae
Description: bacterial SSU rRNA
Rfam family: Bacterial small subunit ribosomal RNA
Source: RNAcentral
UGCAGCAACGCCGCGUGAGGGACGACGGCCCCCGGGUCGUAAACCUCUUUUAGCAGGGAAGAAGCGAAAGUGACGGUACCUGCAGAAAAAGCACCGGCUAACUACGUGCCAGCAGCCGCGGUAAUACGUAGGGUGCAAGCGUUAUCCGGAAUUAUUGGGCGUAAAGAGCUCGUAGGCGGUUUGUCGCGUCUGCUGUGAAAACCCGAGGCUCAACCUCGGGCCUGCAGUGGGUACGGGCAGACUAGAGUGCGGUAGGGGAGAUUGGAAUUCCUGGUGUAGCGGUGGAAUGCGCAGAUUUCAGGAGGAACACCGAUGGCGAAGGCAGAACUCUGGGCCGUAACUGACGCUUAGGAGCGAAAGGGUGGGGAGCAAACAGGCUUAGAUACCCUGGUAGUCCACCCCGUAAACGUUGGGAACUAGUUGUGGGGUCCAUUCCACGGAUUCCGUGACGCAUCUCACGCAUUAAGUUCCCCGCCUGGGGAGUACGGCCGCAAGGCUAAAACUCAAAGGAAUUGACGGGGACCCGCACAAGCGGCGGAGCAUGCGGAUUAAUUCGAUGCAACGCGAAUAACCUUACCAAGGCUUGACAUAUACUAGAACGCUGCAGAAAUGUAGAACUCUUUG